UCUUCCCUCUUUCUUCGUGCCUAAUACAUGCAAGUCGAGCGAACAGACGAGGAGCUUGCUCCUCUGACGUUAGCGGCGGACGGGUGAGUAACACGUGGAUAACCUACCUAUAAGACUGGGAUAACUUCGGGAAACCGGAGCUAAUACCGGAUAAUAUAUUGAACCGCAUGGUUCAAUAGUGAAAGACGGUUUUGCUGUCACUUAUGGAUGGAUCCGCGCCGCAUUAGCUAGUUGGUAAGGUAACGGCUUACCAAGGCGACGAUGCGUAGCCGACCUGAGAGGGUGAUCGGCCACACUGGAACUGAGACACGGUCCAGACUCCUACGGGAGGCAGCAGUAGGGAAUCUUCCGCAAUGGGCGAAAGCCUGACGGAGCAACGCCGCGUGAGUGAUGAAGGUCUUCGGAUCGUAAAACUCUGUUAUUAGGGAAGAACAAAUGUGUAAGUAACUAUGCACGUCUUGACGGUACCUAAUCAGAAAGCCACGGCUAACUACGUG
This 497-nucleotide ribosomal RNA is filed under the name uncultured bacterium. RNAcentral's name for it is "partial 16S ribosomal RNA". It matches the Rfam family "Bacterial small subunit ribosomal RNA", at positions 36 to 507 of the family's 1533-position model. The record is from RNAcentral.